This 1030-nucleotide long non-coding RNA is filed under the name Lonchura striata (white-rumped munia). RNAcentral's name for it is "domestica (Bengalese finch) lncRNA (ENSLSDG00000010884.1)". The record is from RNAcentral. Lineage: Eukaryota; Metazoa; Chordata; Aves; Passeriformes; Estrildidae.
GGAGGCGGCGGGGAGCAUGGCGGCGGCGGGCGGCGGCGGGGCGCGGCGGGGGCUGCUGAAGCGGAAGCCGAACUUCACGCUGCAGGAGCUGGAGGUGCUGAUGAGCGAAGUGCUCCGGUACGAGCCGCUGCUGUUCGGCGCCGCCGCCGGUACCGUGAACGCGUACGAGAAGCAGAAGAUCUGGUGGCGGAUCACGCACAAGGUGAACGCUGCCGGUCGCCACCAGCGCGACAUCGGCGAGGUGAAGAACCGCUGGCGGGGGCUACGCCGCCGCGCCGGGGACAAGAUCAGCCGGCACCGGCUGGAGCGGCAGGGCCCGGCCGGCAGGGCCGCCGCCAGGAACGGGAACACCGGGAGCACCGGGAAUAACGGGAGCAACGGGAACGGCGGGGCCGAGUCCGGCCCGGGGCCCGCCCCCGCCCCCGUCUGGGGUCCUCGCGGCGCCACCGGAACCGACCCUCCGAUGCGCAGCGCCGAAGGGUCGGCACAGCACGGUGAAUGUGUCAAGGAGCCGGUGAAGGAGGAGCCUGUGGAGGUGAAGACUGAGCCCUUCCACGGCCCCGCUGCCGACGGCAUUCCCGGCCGCGGCUCAGACUGUCGGCUGCCCCGCACCGGCAUCUGCCCGCCCAACGAGCUGUGCGAGGGCUGGAGCCGGAGCCCCCCGCGCUCCGCACCCUCCGAACUCUCCCUCGGCGACCUCCGCGGCCAGCAGGAGCCGCUGGGCUCCGACUUCCCGAGCCUGCUGUUGGAUCCGGAGGCCGAGCAGCUCAGUCACUGCGGCGCGGGCGAGGCGGGGGUCCCCGGGGCGGCGGGGCUGGACGGGACCCCCGAGUGCCCCCAGAUCAGCCUCGUGCAGUCCAAUGAGCGGCUGGUGCAGGAGAUGCGGGCGUUCCGCCGGGAAUACGCCGAGAGCCGUCGGGAGACCACGGCGGUGCUGCGCGGCAUUGCCCAGGCACUGGGCGUGCUCAGUCGCAGCCUGGCUGAAAUCCGUGACCUCUACCUCCGGGAGCGGGGGGUCCCCAAAUCAUGA